UUUCAAAUUAACUUUAAUAACAGUAAUGGUUUUGUACUUUUAAAGAUAUUGAAACGCUAAAAAUACAAUUCAAAAGUAAAUUAGCGCUAUUGUGUGUUAAGCAUUAACACUUUGUAUUUAUGGUUGAUGGUUGAUGACCUUAAUGUACUUACUUCAAGCACAGAAUAAGUUAGUACUUUGCAUAGCUUUUCAUGUUCGCCAUUCAGCAACGGUAUAUUUAUCGGAACUUCUCUGUUUAACACCUUCUCGGAAUUGAAGAUUUAUUUUCUUUGCGAAAAGAAUUCGAAAAUAUUAGAAUAAGUUAUUGUCUACUGGCACAAACACAAGAGGUGGUAAUUCAAUAAACCAUGUUAAGGGUUAACACAUAAUAUAAAUUACAACAUCACUAAACGAUUAGAUGAAAUAUGUAUUAUGUAUCCAGUCGAACAUGCAUUGCAGUAUAAUAAUAAAUUAAUAAAAUUUC
Molecule: long non-coding RNA, 463 nt
Organism: Dalotia coriaria
Lineage: Eukaryota; Metazoa; Arthropoda; Insecta; Coleoptera; Staphylinidae
Exons: 2
Source: RefSeq, a predicted model, not a curated record